RNAcentral lists this ribosomal RNA (693 nucleotides) under uncultured bacterium. RNAcentral describes it as "bacterial SSU rRNA". It matches the Rfam family "Bacterial small subunit ribosomal RNA", at positions 28 to 720 of the family's 1533-position model. The record is from RNAcentral.
GAUGAACGCUAGCGGCAGGCUUAACACAUGCAAGUAGAACGGUAACAGUCCUUCGGGAGCUGACGAGUUGCGAACGGGUGCGUAACGCGUAUGCAACCUACCCAUAACAGAGGGAUAGCCCAUAGAAAUGUGGAUUAAUACCUCAUAACAACUAAAGAUGGCAUCAUCUUAAGUUUAAAACUCCGGUGGUUAUGGAUGGGCAUGCGUGACAUUAGCUAGUUGGUGAGGUAACUGCUCACCAAGGCAACGAUGUCUAGGGGUUCUGAGAGGAUGAUCCCCCACACUGGUACUGAGACACGGACCAGACUCCUACGGGAGGCAGCAGUGAGGAAUAUUGCGCAAUGGAGGAAACUCUGACGCAGCCAUGCCGCGUGCAGGAAGACUGCCCUAUGGGUUGUAAACUGCUUUUAUAUAGGAAGAACUACAGAUACGUGUAUUUGUUUGACGGUACUAUACGAAUAAGGACCGGCUAACUCCGUGCCAGCAGCCGCGGUAAUACGGAGGGUCCAAGCGUUAUCCGGAUUUAUUGGGUUUAAAGGGUCCGUAGGCGGGUUAAUAAGUCAGUGGUGAAAUCCUACAGCUCAACUGUAGAACUGCCAUUGAAACUGUUAACCUUGAAUAUAAUUGAAGUAGGCGGAAUGUGUCAUGUAGCGGUGAAAUGCUUAGAUAUGCCACAGAACACCGAUUGCGAAG